ACGAGUGGCGGACGGGUGAGUAAUGUCUGGGAAACUGCCUGAUGGAGGGGGAUAACUACUGGAAACGGUAGCUAAUACCGCAUAACGUCGCAAGACCAAAGAGGGGGACCUUCGGGCCUCUUGCCAUCGGAUGUGCCCAGAUGGGAUUAACUAGUAGGUGGGGUAACGGCUCACCUAGGCGACGAUCCCUAGCUGGUCUGAGAGGAUGACCAGCCACACUGGAACUGAGACACGGUCCAGACUCCUACGGGAGGCAGCAUG
RNAcentral lists this ribosomal RNA (261 nucleotides) under uncultured bacterium. RNAcentral describes it as "partial 16S ribosomal RNA". It matches the Rfam family "Bacterial small subunit ribosomal RNA", at positions 91 to 353 of the family's 1533-position model. The record is from RNAcentral.